GAAUAUUAGUCAAUGCUCGCAAGAGUGAACUAGCUAACUGAAAUCAUAUAAGUGUCUUAUGUGAUGUCGUAAGGGAAAAUAAUGAUAUUACCUUACUAAUAGUGUCGUCUAAAACUGGUGCCAGAAGACUCGGUAAGGCCAGAGACACAAAUGUUAAUCGUCUUAAUCAGGCGUAAAGGGUUUGUAGGCUGCUUUGAAAAUAUUAAUUUAAUAUAG
This 216-nucleotide ribosomal RNA is filed under the name Odonticium laxum. RNAcentral describes it as "partial small subunit ribosomal RNA". It matches the Rfam family "Bacterial small subunit ribosomal RNA", at positions 359 to 603 of the family's 1533-position model. Lineage: Eukaryota; Fungi; Basidiomycota; Agaricomycetes; Hymenochaetales. The record is from RNAcentral.